Megalobrama amblycephala (Wuchang bream) is the source of this 2395-nucleotide long non-coding RNA. RefSeq lists it as uncharacterized. The transcript has 2 exons. Lineage: Eukaryota; Metazoa; Chordata; Actinopteri; Cypriniformes; Xenocyprididae. The record is from RefSeq and is a predicted model, not a curated record.
CUUGAGGGGCUAUUUUUUACCCUGCUUCACUAAAUAAGGCCAGGCAGAGUCGGGGAGUGGGUGCAGGGCCAGGGGGGCUCCUCUUUGCCUUGACCCUCGGGGUAUAAAAGCUUUGGAGCAGUGGGAGGCUCCUCCGACCAGCCCCUCUGCACACUUCCCGUCUGUCCCGUUCACACGUUCGCCAUAAAAUAUGCUCAAAGUCAACUUUAUGACUAUUUUUUUUUAAGCUAACAUUUGUUUUGGUUUUUUUAGUGACGUGGACGUGUAUCGGACGGUGACGUCAUUUUUGCCCUUAAUGGCUGCCGUUUCUCAUGUGAAUGGACAAGGACGUUUAUUGGACAGAGUAUGGACAGAAUUGUCUGGCAGGAUGGAAUAUACAGUAAGGGAUAAAAACGAGAAAAAAAAAGAAAGCAAGCUUUUUUCUGACUUCUGUUUAACAAAUCCUCUGAUCUUUCGCUCUUUAACUCACAUUGACUUCCUUUUCUCUCUCUCUCUCUGGCAGUCUAUCUCUCAUUUAAAAGUGUCAGCAUACUGUCCAUACUUUCUCCUACUCCUGUUUCAGCCGAUACUGGGGCGUAGUUCUAUACGUAGCUCUCUCAGGACAGGUGGGGAGGUGUUACCGAGAUAAACGUAGGUCUUUGGGACCGUUUUAUCCGACCCGGUGACUUCCGUCCGAUAUUUUUUGGUAAUUCGCUCUUCUUUUGCGCCGCAAAGAGCCAAGAACACUCCAGUAUUGACAGCAACGCUCUGCAUUUCUUUUCAUCCCCAUCUCUUUCUCAUCUGUCCACCCCUCCACCCUCUCUCUCUUUCCUCUCAUCCUCAAAUUCUCAAACGCUGAAUCAGCUGCUUGGGAACGGACGCUCCCCCUGCCUCUUGGCUGCACACACAAGCUGCCUCUCCCUGGUUCUGUGGUGUCCUUCUCCUGUCCCGUUUGAGAUUCUGGUCUUGCCCUAAAAUGCUUUGCUAAAGCUGGUAAAAUGGAACCAAAUCAACUGUUUUAUGGAUUUGGUCCCCUUCAACCAGCUGUAGCUGUGCAUUGAUCACCCCGUGGAGCUGCGAUGAAGACAGACAGCUGCUGAACAAUAACGGCCCGGUGCGGAUCUACGUUCACAGCGCAGGACCGGCUGUUGAAUGAAUGUUCCUUUAAGCACUAAUAUCAUGAUUAAACACUCUUUGUCCUCUUAAAACCCAGGUGAGUAUUAUAUAUGUCAUGUCAUUUAUUAUUUAUGAGCUAUAAUUGUUGAUUAUGUAUUCAAGCCAAAUCACUAUCAUUGGAGAGAGGGCUCAGGGCUCUUUAUGGCCGCACAUUGAUUUCUUGUCUCUCGGCUGAAAGAGUGAAGGUGUUGGGGCGCUAGAUGGAUGCAGGAACGAGGGAGGGGGUGUGUGUCAAGAUGUUGAAUAAGUAAAACAGUCGUUCCUUUUCUCUCUCUUUUUUCCUUCUACACUUGUCGUGAUUCUUAAUGCACAUGGUUGAUCAAUAAAAGCUCAUCCUGAAGUUCAUAAACUGCUGAAGUGGUUUUUGCUUUUCUGAAACAGACUAUUCAGCGGGAAAAUAAUGUAAGGCGGGGACGUGAUUUCAUCCAUAGGGAUUUGAUUGGACUGAAACGCACUACACUACGAUAUUAUUGGUUAUUUUUUCUUCUCACAUUGACAAAAAAAAACAAAAAAAAAACAGCAGAACAGUCUUCAGAUAUGAUGUAAAUUUUAAUUAUUAACAGAGUGCAAUUAGAUUUUAUGGUGAUCGUAAAAAAGUUCUUCUCUGAAGGUGGUGUACAUUUUUUGUCAAUGUUAAAAUACCAUCUGCAUUAUUUUUGUUGUUUUGCUGAAUGUUUUUUGACAUUUUUACACCAUGAGCAGCACUGUUCACAAACGUGAACUUUUCUUCCAUCAGUAUAUAUAGAAUAAGCACAGCUGAAACCAUGUGAUCCUGCAGCAUCAAAUCACCAAAGUAUCAAGAGCUGUGAGGUUGUUAACAAUCGUAGCCUGUCAAAGACUGAAGAGAUCCCUUGAUGGAUGGUUUGAGAGGUUUCAAAUAUUCCUUUCCUAUAUUUCCUUUUUACGGCACUGUAAAAAGAAGCCAUUAUAGAAUUACUAUGUGUGCAAUCAAAGGGAAUUUAACUCACUUCCGAGGAUGUGCUGGAAAAGAUGUGUACAGGCCUGUGUGAUUUCUUUAAAGGUACAGUGUGAGAUUUCUGCUAAACACAUCUAUGCAAACACUGUAUACAUUUCUAUACAAGAUUUUUGUGUAAACCCAGACAUAUCAUUUUCAGGAUGCUUUGAUGAAUACGAAGAUCAAAAGAAGAUUGUAAACAGUCACUUUUGAUCAGUUUAAUAUACCAUUGCUGAAUAGUAUCAAUUUGAUUUUUUUUUUUUAAUAAAAUAACCUUACUAACUA